GUGUCAUAAAAUAAUUAAAUGUGUAAAAAUGAAUUUACUUUUAUUUAUUAUUCUUUAAAUAAAUUAAAAAACACUAAAGUGACGUGUUGCUUGCAAGAUCAACAAGAAAAUGGAACAUCUAUUUUAAAAUUAUAUAUAUACCAGUCCCACUACACCCUUUUUACUGCCCACGAUUUUAUUUAUGAUAAAUAUUUAAUUAUAAAACACUAUAACGUCACUUUUACCUCAAUUGUUAACUAAAUUACAAAAUAAUUUAUAAUUAAUCCAUUGACAUCAUCAGAAUCCAAGAAUCCAGUGAUUUACAGCAACGGAAAGACAACCACACCCACAGACACAAAACCCAGACCUUUACUAACACACAUUUAGAAUUGACCAAUCAGGAAAAUUUUUCGGAGUCUUAGUCAUCUGUGAAUGUUCUCCAACUUUGAGGAUAAAACCCAUUCCCAUUUCCAUGUGGUUCACCAGGUGACAGUGUAAGAACCAGUACCCAGGAUUAG
Long non-coding RNA from Cotesia glomerata, 497 nucleotides. RefSeq lists it as uncharacterized. The record is from RefSeq and is a predicted model, not a curated record. NCBI's taxonomy places the organism in Eukaryota, Metazoa, Arthropoda, Insecta, Hymenoptera, Braconidae. The transcript has 3 exons.